RNAcentral lists this ribosomal RNA (497 nucleotides) under uncultured bacterium. RNAcentral's name for it is "partial 16S ribosomal RNA". It matches the Rfam family "Bacterial small subunit ribosomal RNA", at positions 28 to 507 of the family's 1533-position model. The record is from RNAcentral.
GAUGAACGCUGGCGGCGUGCCUAAUACAUGCAAGUCGAGCGAACAGACGAGGAGCUUGCUCCUCUGACGUUAGCGGCGGACGGGUGAGUAACACGUGGAUAACCUACCUAUAAGACUGGGAUAACUUCGGGAAACCGGAGCUAAUACCGGAUAAUAUAUUGAACCGCAUGGUUCAAUAGUGAAAGACGGUUUUGCUGUCACGUAUAGAUGGAUCCGCGCCGCAUUAGCUAGUUGGUAAGGUAACGGCUUACCAAGGCAACGAUGCGUAGCCGACCUGAGAGGGUGAUCGGCCACACUGGAACUGAGACACGGUCCAGACUCCUACGGGAGGCAGCAGUAGGGAAUCUUCCGCAAUGGGCGAAAGCCUGACGGAACAACGCCGCGUGAGUGAUGAAGGUCUUCGGAUCGUAAAACUCUGUUAUUAGGGAAGAACAAAUGUGUAAGUAACUAUGCACGUCUUGACGGUACCUAAUCAGAAAGCCACGGCUAACUACGUG